AUACGUAGGAGGCGAGCGUUGUCCGGAUUUACUGGGCGUAAAGGGCGAGUAGGCGGUCUGUUAAGUCUCAUGUGAAAUCUCCCGGCUUAACUGGGAGGGGUCAUGGGAAACUGGCAGACUUGAGGGCAGUAGAGGAGAGUGGAAUUCCCGGAGUAGCGGUGAUAUGCGUAGAUACCGGGAGGAACACCCGAGGCGAAGGCGACUCUCUGGGCUGCACCUGACGCUGAGGCGCGAAAGCAUGGGGAGCAAACCGGAGUAGAAACCCCAGUAGUCC
This 274-nucleotide ribosomal RNA is filed under the name uncultured bacterium. RNAcentral describes it as "partial 16S ribosomal RNA". It matches the Rfam family "Bacterial small subunit ribosomal RNA", at positions 523 to 796 of the family's 1533-position model. The record is from RNAcentral.